GGCCGAGUCGCUCAAUUUGGUAGAGCAGCGGUAUCGUAAACCGCAGGUUGUGGGUUCAAGUCCCACCUUGGCCUCCA
This 77-nucleotide transfer RNA is filed under the name Sulfobacillus harzensis. RNAcentral describes it as "Sulfobacillus sp. DSM 109850 tRNA-Thr". It matches the Rfam family "tRNA". Rfam says of the family: Transfer RNA (tRNA) molecules are approximately 80 nucleotides in length. Their secondary structure includes four short double-helical elements and three loops (D, anti-codon, and T loops). Lineage: Bacteria; Bacillati; Bacillota; Clostridia; Eubacteriales; Clostridiales Family XVII. Incertae Sedis. The record is from RNAcentral.